AGAGUUUGAUCCUGGCUCAGAGCGAACGCUGGCGGCGUGCUUAACACAUGCAAGUCGAACGCGCAGCAUUCUGUAGCAAUACAGGGUGUGGGCGCGUGGCGAACGGGUGCGUAACACGUGGAUAACCUUCCUUGAGGUGGGGAAUAACCCAGUGAAAAUUGGGCUAAUACCGCAUAACAUCGCGAUGGCACAUGCUGAUGCGAUCAAAGGCGCAAGUCGCCACAAGAGGGAUCCGCGGCCGAUUAGCUUGUUGGCGAGGUAAUGGCUCACCAAGGCAAUGAUCGGUAGCCGGACUGAGAGGUUGGCCGGCCACACUGGAACUGAGACACGGUCCAGACUCCUACGGGAGGCAGCAGUGGGGAAUCUUGCACAAUGGACGAAAGUCUGAUGCAGCAACGCCGCGUGGGGGAUGAAGCUUCUCGGAGUGUAAACCCCUUUCGACCCGGAAGAAUGCCCGCAAGGGUAUGACGGUACGGGUAUAAGAAGCCCCGGCUAACUACGUGCCAGCAGCCGCGGUAAUACGUAGGGGGCCAGCGUUGCUCGGAAUUACUGGGCGUAAAGGGUCCGUAGGCGGUGUAGCAAGUCGAUAGUGAAAUCUCUGGGCUUAACCCAGAGGCUGCUAACGAAACUGCUGUGCUAGAGUGUGAGAGAGGCGAGUGGAAUUACGGGUGUAGCGGUGAAAUGCGUAGAUAUCCGUAGGAACAUUCGAGGCGAAGGCGGCUCGCUGGAUCACAACUGACGCUGAGGGACGAAAGCUAGGGGAGCAAACAGGAUUAGAUACCCUGGUAGUCCUAGCCCUAAACCAUCAGACUUGGGGUUUGCCCUGUACGGGGCAAGUCCCGUAGCUAACGCGUUAAGUCCUGCGCCUGGGGAGUACGGUCGCAAGGCUGAAACUCAAAGGAAUUGACGGGGCCCGCACAAGCGGUGGAACAUGUGGUUCAAUUCGACGCAAC
This 953-nucleotide ribosomal RNA is filed under the name uncultured bacterium. RNAcentral's name for it is "bacterial SSU rRNA". It matches the Rfam family "Bacterial small subunit ribosomal RNA", at positions 8 to 960 of the family's 1533-position model. The record is from RNAcentral.